GGGAAGCCUACCUCAAGAUAAGAUUUCCCUAGGACUUUAUGUCCUCUAAAGAGCCGUUCGAGACUAGGACGUUGAUAGGUUGGAUGUGGAAGCAUAGUGAUAUGUGAAGCUGACCAAUACUAAUUGCUCGUGAGGCUUGACUAU
RNAcentral lists this ribosomal RNA (144 nucleotides) under Acinetobacter baumannii. RNAcentral describes it as "partial 23S ribosomal RNA". It matches the Rfam family "Bacterial large subunit ribosomal RNA", at positions 2787 to 2925 of the family's 2925-position model. Lineage: Bacteria; Pseudomonadati; Pseudomonadota; Gammaproteobacteria; Moraxellales; Moraxellaceae. The record is from RNAcentral. RNAcentral also lists the same sequence under 1 other name.